AAGCGGUGGAUGAUGUGGUUUAAUUCGAUGCAACGCGAAAACCUUACCCACCUUUGACAUGGCAGGAAUCCCGAAGAGAUUUGGGAGUGCUCGAAAGAGAACCUGCACACAGGUGCUGCAUGGCUGUCGUCAGCUCGUGUCGUGAGAUGUUGGGUUAAGUCCCGCAACGAGCGCAACCCUUGCCAUUAGUUGCUACGAAAGGGCACUCUAAUGGGACUGCCGGUGACAAACCGGAGGAAGGUGGGGAUGACGUCAAGUCCUCAUGGCCUUUAUGACCAGGGCUACACACGUACUACAAUGGCCGGUACAAAGGGCAGCGACACAGCGAUGUGAAGCCAAUCCCGAAAAGCCGGUCUCAGUCCGGAUUGGAGUCUGCAACUCGACUCCAUGAAGUUGGAAUCGCUAGUAAUCGCGGAUCAGCACGCCGCGGUGAAUACGUUCCCGGGCCUU
Molecule: ribosomal RNA, 450 nt
Filed under: uncultured Allobrachymonas sp.
Lineage: Bacteria; Pseudomonadati; Pseudomonadota; Betaproteobacteria; Burkholderiales; Comamonadaceae
Description: bacterial SSU rRNA
Rfam family: Bacterial small subunit ribosomal RNA
Source: RNAcentral